This 314-nucleotide unclassified non-coding RNA is filed under the name uncultured fungus. Its description in RNAcentral is "partial contains small subunit ribosomal RNA, internal transcribed spacer 1, and 5.8S ribosomal RNA". The stretch from base 1 to 73 matches the Rfam family "Eukaryotic small subunit ribosomal RNA", at positions 1759 to 1831 of the family's 1831-position model. The record is from RNAcentral. Lineage: Eukaryota; Fungi.
ACAAACUUGGUCAUUUAGAGGAAGUAAAAGUCGUAACAAGGUUUCCGUAGGUGAACCUGCGGAAGGAUCAUUAGUAGUACUUACGGGAGGGAAGCGCUUGUCGCGACCUGACCGACCCACACCUUGGCCUGGGAUGGCUGUUGGGCGUUUGCCUGGCGGACAUGCCUUGCCUUUCAACUUUUGUUUGACGGAACAUGGCUGCGCAAGCGGCUAUUUGGGAAGGAGUAGUAGGGCUGCGCAAGCGGACUCUAUGUAAUGUGGAUACAACCUUUAACAAUGGAUCUCUUGGCUCCUGCAUCGAUGAAGAACGCAGC